ACAAAAAAAAAAUCCCGUAAUUAACUCAGACUCUAUAUCUAAUCUCAUCUAUAGAGGCAGCUAGUCAACCACCAUCGCGCCGCCCGCAAGACCUCGCCGCCGAGCCACCCAACACAUCCCAUCCCUACCCCCACCGACCACCACAGCACUGGGAUCCGGAUCUCCAUUCCCCUCUAUCACCCGGCGGCCUGCACGGACAUAGCGCCGGCAGCAAGAUCCCAUCAUCUUUGGCCUCCUGCUGGACGGUGGACGCCACUGGUGCAGAUUCAGAUUGGACUUCUUUUUUCCAAGUUAUUCUUCCUGGAAGCCCACAUGUUCUACUAGCGCAAAGGUGCAGAUUUCCAAUUCAUGUUUUUUUUUCGAAUUAUGCUUCCUGAAAGCCCACAUGUUCUACUAUCUCGAUACACUUAUUGUGGAAUAAAAGUAUAAUUUGAUGGACUGGGACAUCACCCUGAUUUUCUAAUUGCCCAUAUUAAAACUCUCAUAUUUUCAUGUCCAGUGAUGAUCAGAAGCUGCUCGAUAAAAUGCCCCUUUGGGUUUCAAGUUUCUUUAUUGUCAUUGAUUGCUAUUGACGAAAUGACAUUUGAGAAACAUAACCUAUGAUUAUCCUCCAUCCAGAUGGGAGUGGAAUUAGGCAAUGUAAAUUUUGAUAGGUCUCCAUCAGAUAAAAUGGGCAUAUUGCUUAGCUUUUAGGAGAACAACUGCAAACCAUACUGAGGUGGAGUCCAUCAAAUAUGCAUAUGAGAUUGAGAGGUAGCUGGAGUAGUGCCACGUAACAUGUUGAGGGCUAAAUGAAAUUUGUUGGCACAAGUGUACCUAGAAAUUCAUGGCAACGUCCAUAACCGACUACGUGUCCAAUGUUGAGGAGAGAGUAUCCUUAACUAACUCUUGGUUUUCUAUUGCUAGUUUUAUUUGGAUUCCAAGUGCGUGGAGUUAUAACUUGUAUGUGCGGCAGUACACCUUCAUUUGAGCACCUGACAGCGCAUCGCACACAUUCUUACAGAGAUAUUACGAUGUUUCACUGAUUUGAUAUAAUAGUUAUCAACUAGCAUUAUUGUCUUAUGCAAAAGUACAAAAUUUAUAUUACCUUUUGACUUUUGCCAAAUAAUUUUCUUGUAAUUAUCUUUCUGUUAUUGCAGGUGGAGUAACUAACAUACACACGAGUACUGAUGGACAGGGAGAACAAUUCUUGCUAUGGAUUACCAACAUUAUGGUGCUUUGGUGUUGGCUCUUGUGAUGAUUGGCGGAGGAAUCAAGAGUGUUUUUGGUUUCAUCGUAGACAUUCUUAUUCUAGCAUUCUGGAUUAGUUAUUAUGAAGUUCUCAAUGUUUUUGCCAUGAGGUGGCCAUAUGAUAUUGUUGCAAACGACUAGUCGUUGUUUGUGUCUCACUAAUGUAAACGUAAUUUUCAUUA
This is a long non-coding RNA of Lolium perenne, 1412 nucleotides long. RefSeq lists it as uncharacterized. The record is from RefSeq and is a predicted model, not a curated record. Lineage: Eukaryota; Viridiplantae; Streptophyta; Magnoliopsida; Poales; Poaceae.